AGUGAACGCUGGCGGUAGGCCUAACACAUGCAAGUCGAACGGCAGCACAGUAAGAGCUUGCUCUUACGGGUGGCGAGUGGCGGACGGGUGAGGAAUACAUCGGAAUCUACUUUUUCGUGGGGGAUAACGUAGGAAAAGUUACGCUAAUACCGCAUACGACCUACGGGUGAAAGCAGGGGAUCUUCGGACCUUGCGCGAUUGAUUGAGCCGAUGUCGGAUUAGCUAGUUGGCGGGGUAAAGGCCCACCAAGGCGACGAUCCGUAGCUGGUCUGAGAGGAUGAUCAGCCACACUGGAACUGAGACACGGUCCAGACUCCGACGGGAGGCAGCAGUGGGGAAUAUUGGACAAUGGGCGCAAGCCUGAUCCAGCCAUACCGCGUGGGUGAAGAAGGCGCUCGGGUUGUAAAGUGCUGUUGUUGGGAAAGAAAAGCAGUAGUUUAAUACCCCGCGGUACUGACGGUACCCAAAGAAGAAGCACCGGCUAACUUCGUG
Molecule: ribosomal RNA, 492 nt
Filed under: uncultured bacterium
Lineage: Bacteria
Description: partial 16S ribosomal RNA
Rfam family: Bacterial small subunit ribosomal RNA
Source: RNAcentral